ACUAGGAAUUUUGCGCAAUGGGGGCAACCCUGACGCAGCGACACAGCGUGGAGGAGGAAGGUCUUCGGAUUGUAAACUCCUUUUAUAUGGGAAGAAUAGAUGACUGUACCAUAUGAAUAAGCACCUGCUAACUACGUGCCAGAAGCAUCGGUGAUGCGUAGGGUGCGAACGUUAUCCGGAUUUAUUGGGCGUAAAGAGAUGCGUAGGCGUUUCAGUUAGUCUUUCGUUAAAAGUCACGGCUUAACCGUGAAGAUGCGUUGGAUACUGCUGAAAUUGAGACAGGAAUGGGUGAACGGAACUCCAAGUGGAGCGGUGAAAUGCGUUGAUAUUUGGAAGAACAUCAGAGGCGAAGGCGGUUCACUGGUCAUUGUCUGACGCUAAGGCUCGAAAGCGUGGGUAGCAAAACGGAUUAGAUACCCCAGUAGUCC
RNAcentral lists this ribosomal RNA (428 nucleotides) under uncultured bacterium. RNAcentral describes it as "partial 16S ribosomal RNA". It matches the Rfam family "Bacterial small subunit ribosomal RNA", at positions 354 to 796 of the family's 1533-position model. The record is from RNAcentral.